AUGCAGUAGGAAGGUGGGAGAAGGCCUCAGCUAAACUGAAACUGAAGAGAAAAAGAGAAAUGCACUUGCACCACUGAAACCUGGAUCCAUAGAAGGAGGUAUGGGUUUUAGCUGCUCAAGUUUCCUUUGAAAAUGGGUUAGUCAAGAACACAUCUUGGUUUUAAGAAUAGCUGCUCAAUGAGAGAGAGCGGUGUAAAUGUUAUCUUUAUUUCAGGUGCCUAUGUGGUGGUGCUGGGUUGGCACACAUUCCUGAUGGGGUUCCUGGAGCACAACCAGCCUGAAGCUGGUCCCUAAAGCAGCUCCUGUGCAGGCUCCUGGAUGCACGUGAGGAGCCUCUGGCUUUUCGUUCUCUCUGAAGUGGCCUCCCUGCAGGUUAAAAACAGGACUCUGGGAAGGAGUACGGUCCCGAAACCCAAUUUUGUAAUGUUUUUAACUUGUCUUACUGCUUGAGGAGAAGCCUUCAGGGAGGUGUUAUCUAUAAAUGCUCACCCUCACAGGUUCAAAUGCCUCUAUGUAUCCUUGUUUGUGGGUGGGCUUCUUAUUUUUAUUUGCUUGCUUUGUUUUUAAUCUGGAUAUUUCUGAUACGUAAAUUGACCUGGAUCACAUCUGCACAUAGUAGAUACAACGUGUUUAAUAUUAAAAUACAAAUUUUAGGUGUGAUGAGCUGGACCCCAAGUUAAAAUUUCCUUUGCAAGGGUUCUACAUAAACUUUUUUUUCCUCUCUUUUUUUCCUAUCUCUUUUUUUCUCCACCCGUAAUUCUUGUCAUUGUUCUGGGAUCACUUUUAUUUUGCCAUUACAGCUAGGAAUAUGGCCAUGGUGUUUGGCUAGCCCACCAGUUCUGGAGGGAGCACAUUUACUGAAAUAAAGAUUGGUAGGUAUUCCUGAAGUUAUCCCUAGGACCUUGGUCAAUCUUUAAUGAGUAGGCCUGAGACAGCAAAUCCUGAAGUAAAGGGGACCAUUUCUAUCGGAACAUCAAAUGUAUUAAGCUGUCAUCCCAAGACAAGUAUGGACAUACAAAGUUGAUAUUUCC
Corvus hawaiiensis (hawaiian crow) is the source of this 1031-nucleotide long non-coding RNA. RefSeq lists it as uncharacterized. The record is from RefSeq and is a predicted model, not a curated record. NCBI's taxonomy places the organism in Eukaryota, Metazoa, Chordata, Aves, Passeriformes, Corvidae. The transcript is spliced from 3 exons.